GUGCCAGCAGCCGCGGUAAUACGGAGGGGGUUAGCGUUGUUCGGAAUUACUGGGCGUAAAGCGUACGUAGGCGGAUUAGUCAGUCAGAGGUGAAAUCCCAGGGCUCAACCCUGGAACUGCCUUUGAUACUGCUAGUCUUGAGUUCGAGAGAGGUGAGUGGAAUUCCAAGUGUAGAGGUGAAAUUCGUAGAUAUUUGGAGGAACACCAGUGGCGAAGGCGGCUCACUGGCUCGAUACUGACGCUGAGGUACGAAAGUGUGGGGAGCAAACAGGAUUAGAUACCCUGGUAGUCCACACCGUAAACGAUGAAUGCCAGUCGUCGGGCAGUAUACUGUUCGGUGACACACCUAACGGAUUAAGCAUUCCGCCUGGGGAGUACGGUCGCAAGAUUAAAACUCAAA
RNAcentral lists this ribosomal RNA (400 nucleotides) under uncultured bacterium. RNAcentral describes it as "bacterial SSU rRNA". It matches the Rfam family "Bacterial small subunit ribosomal RNA", at positions 505 to 905 of the family's 1533-position model. The record is from RNAcentral.